This 301-nucleotide ribosomal RNA is filed under the name uncultured bacterium. RNAcentral's name for it is "partial 16S ribosomal RNA". It matches the Rfam family "Bacterial small subunit ribosomal RNA", at positions 509 to 807 of the family's 1533-position model. The record is from RNAcentral.
CAGCAGCCGCGGUAAUACGGAGGGGGCUAGCGUUGUUCGGAACUACUGGGCGUAAAGCGCACGUAGGCGGCUUGGUAAGUUAGAGGUGAAAGCCUGGAGCUCAACUCCAGAAUUGCCUUUAAGACUGCCGAGCUAGCAGGUGAGAGAGGUAAGUGGAAUUCCGAGUGUAGAGGUGAAAUUCGUAGAUAUUCGGAAGAACACCAGUGGCGAAGGCGGCUUACUGGCUCAUACUGGACGCUGAGGUGCGAAAGCGUGGGGAGCAAACAGGAUUAGAUACCCCAGUAGUCCCUGUCUCUUAUAC